UACGGAGGGGGUUAGCGUUGUUCGGAAUUACUGGGCGUAAAGCGCACGUAGGCGGAUCAGAAAGUUGGGGGUGAAAUCCCAGGGCUCAACCCCGGAACGGCCUCCAAAACUCCUGGUCUUGAGUUCGAGAGAGGUGAGUGGAAUUCCGAGUGUAGAGGUGAAAUUCGUAGAUAUUCGGAGGAACACCGGUGGCGAAGGCGGCUCACUGGCUCGAUACUGACGCUGAGGUGCGAAAGUGUGGGGAGCAAACAGGAUUAGAUACCCGGGUAGUCCCUGAGCGGGCUGGCAA
Molecule: ribosomal RNA, 289 nt
Filed under: uncultured prokaryote
Description: partial 16S ribosomal RNA
Rfam family: Bacterial small subunit ribosomal RNA
Source: RNAcentral